This 614-nucleotide ribosomal RNA is filed under the name uncultured fungus. RNAcentral describes it as "eukaryotic LSU rRNA". It matches the Rfam family "Eukaryotic large subunit ribosomal RNA", at positions 38 to 667 of the family's 3401-position model. Lineage: Eukaryota; Fungi. The record is from RNAcentral.
GCAUAUCAAUAAGCGGAGGAAAAGAAACCAACAGGGAUUGCCCUAGUAACGGCGAGUGAAGCGGCAACAGCUCAAAUUUGAAAUCUGGCUCUUUUAGAGUCCGAGUUAUAAUUUGCAGAGGGCGCUUUGGCUUUGGCAGCGGUCCAAGUUCCUUGGAACAGGACGUCACAGAGGGUGAGAAUCCCGUACGUGGUCGCUGGCUAUUGCCGUGUAAAGCCCCUUCGACGAGUCGAGUUGUUUGGGAAUGCAGCUCUAAAUGGGAGGUACAUUUCUUCUAAAGCUAAAUAUUGGCCAGAGACCGAUAGCGCACAAGUAGAGUGAUCGAAAGAUGAAAAGCACUUUGGAAAGAGAGUCAAACAGCACGUGAAAUUGUUGAAAGGGAAGCGCUUGCAGCCAGACUUGCUUACAGUUGCUCAUCCGGGUUUCUACCCGGUGCACUCUUCUGUAGGCAGGCCAGCAUCAGUUUGGGCGGUAGGAUAAAGGUCUCUGUCACGUACCUCCUUUCGGGGAGGCCUUAUAGGGGAGACGACAUACUACCAGCCUGGACUGAGGUCCGCGCAUCUGCUAGGAUGCUGGCGUAAUGGCUGUAAGCGGCCCGUCUUGAAACACGGACC